RNAcentral lists this ribosomal RNA (482 nucleotides) under uncultured bacterium. RNAcentral's name for it is "partial 16S ribosomal RNA". It matches the Rfam family "Bacterial small subunit ribosomal RNA", at positions 28 to 523 of the family's 1533-position model. The record is from RNAcentral.
GACGAACGCUGGCGGCGUGCUUAACACAUGCAAGUCGAACGAUGAAACCUAGCUUGCUAGGUCGAUUAGUGGCGAACGGGUGAGUAACACGUGACUAACCUGCCCCUUUCUCUGGGAUAACGCUCCGAAAGGAGUGCUAAUACCGGAUACUCACAUCGAGGCACAUGCCUUGGUGUGGAAAGUUUUUCGGAAAGGGAUGGAGUCGCGGCCUAUCAGCUUGUUGGUGAGGUAACGGCCCACCAAGGCGACGACGGGUAGCCGGCCUGAGAGGGCGACCGGGCACACUGGGACUGAGACACGGCCCAGACUCCUACGGGAGGCAGCAGUGGGGAAUAUUGCACAAUGGGCGCAAGCCUGAUGCAGCGACGCCGCGUGAGGGAUGAAGGUCUUCGGAUUGUAAACCUCUUUCAGUAGGGACGAAGCGAAAGUGACGGUACCUAAAGAAGAAGCACCGGCUAACUACGUGCCAGCCGCCGCCGUAA